Molecule: ribosomal RNA, 549 nt
Filed under: Triticum aestivum (bread wheat)
Lineage: Eukaryota; Viridiplantae; Streptophyta; Magnoliopsida; Poales; Poaceae
Description: partial small subunit ribosomal RNA
Source: RNAcentral
AUGGGUACGCCAUGCACUGAUGAAGACAGGGACUUUUUUGCAGCUGCCACUUCCGUCACGGUUGGCAAUGGGCAUGUGGCUAAGUUCUGGAACUCCUCCUGGCUUGAUGGCAUGCGCCCACGGGACCUAGCGCCUGGCAUUUUCGACCUCUCCCAAAGGAAAAACUGCUCGGUCAAACAGGCUUUAACAAACAACACUUGGAUCUCUCAUAUUGACUUCUCCGACGGUCUCACAGUAGACCAUGUCCACCAGUUCGUCACACUUUGGGAGAAGAUUGACUCGGUCACUCUGGAUGAGGACGUGGAGGAUUCCAUUAUUUGGAAGUUCACCAAGGACGGAUCGUACUCAGCUUCCUCGGCUUACAAGGCGCAGUUUGAGGGCCUAACUACGUCGGCCAUGGUCCUAUCGGUGUGGAAGGUGUGGGCUCCCCCGCGGUGCAAAUUUUUCGCAUGGCUUGUACUUCAAGAUAGAAUCUGGACAUCGGACCGCCUUGCUCGACGUGGGGUGGCCCAAUUGCGGGCUAUGCCCGAUUUGCAAGCAAAGCCCUGA